RNAcentral lists this ribosomal RNA (296 nucleotides) under Klebsiella pneumoniae. RNAcentral's name for it is "partial 16S ribosomal RNA". It matches the Rfam family "Bacterial small subunit ribosomal RNA", at positions 1248 to 1533 of the family's 1533-position model. Lineage: Bacteria; Pseudomonadati; Pseudomonadota; Gammaproteobacteria; Enterobacterales; Enterobacteriaceae. The record is from RNAcentral.
AGCGACCUCGCGAGAGCAAGCGGACCUCAUAAAGUAUGUCGUAGGCCGGAUUGGAGUCUGCAACUCGACUCCAUGAAGUCGGAAUCGCUAGUAAUCGUAGAUCAGAAUGCUACGGUGAAUACGUUCCCGGGCCUUGUACACACCGCCCGUCACACCAUGGGAGUGGGUUGCAAAAGAAGUAGGUAGCUUAACCUUCGGGAGGGCGCUUACCACUUUGUGAUUCAUGACUGGGGUGAAGUCGUAACAAGGUAACCGUAGGGGAACCUGCGGUUGGAUCACCUCCUUACCUUAAAGAA